This 377-nucleotide ribosomal RNA is filed under the name uncultured bacterium. Its description in RNAcentral is "bacterial SSU rRNA". It matches the Rfam family "Bacterial small subunit ribosomal RNA", at positions 28 to 407 of the family's 1533-position model. The record is from RNAcentral.
GACGAACGCUGGCGGCGUGCUUAACACAUGCAAGUCGAGCGGUAAGGCCCUUUCGGGGGUACACGAGCGGCGAACGGGUGAGUAACACGCGGGUGACCUGCCCUUAGCUCUGGGAUAAGCCUGGGAAACUGGGUCUAAUACCGGAUAUGACUCUAUAACGCAUGUUGUGGGGUGGAAAGCCUUGUGCGGCUAGGGAUGGGCCCGCGGCCUAUCAGCUUGUUGGUGGGGUGAUGGCCACCAAGGCGACGACGGGUAGCCGGCCUGAGAGGGCGACCGGCCACACUGGGACUGAGACACGGCCCAGACUCCUACGGGAGGCAGCAGUGGGGAAUCUUGCGCAAUGGGCGAAAGCCUGACGCAGCGACGCCGCGUGGGGA